UACGGAGGGUGCAAGCGUUAUCCGGAAUCACUGGGCGUAAAGGGCGCGUAGGUGGUCUGUUAAGUCUGGCGUUAAAGCCUGGGGCUCAACCCCAGAUCAGCGUUGGAUACUGGCAGGCUAGACGGUUGGAGAGGCGAGUGGAAUUACCAGUGUAGCGGUGGAAUGCGUAGAUACUGGUAGGAACACCCAUUGCGAAGGCAGCUCGCUGGACAACACGUGACGCUGAGGCGCGAAAGUGUGGGGAGCAAACCGGAUUAGAUACCCGU
Molecule: ribosomal RNA, 266 nt
Filed under: uncultured prokaryote
Description: partial 16S ribosomal RNA
Rfam family: Bacterial small subunit ribosomal RNA
Source: RNAcentral